AAUGUCUGGCACAAGAGGGGGCUUCCAGGAACUUGCUGCAACAAAAGUUCUGAGGAUUCAGAAACAAGGAGGCCCCACUCGCUGCCCCUGGAUGCUUCCAGCCCAGAAGGCACGAAGAUGAAGACAUGCCCAACUGCAGUACCCUGUGGUCAAUGCUACAUAGGAGCCCAGGAGUGCCAGAGAGAGAGAGAGAGAGAGGCCUGCUCCAGCCAUGCAGGAGACCAGCACAGACCCAUCAGUGAAGCCUGUUCUCAACAAAUGCUUGUAAAUGACUCACUCCUACUGGGGUCUAGAGGACGAUGGAUCCCAGAUCAAGUUGCUUGUUGCCUCAUUUGUCAAGUUCUGCCUGUACAUCGGCUGUUCUUCCUUACGAUAAAUCUGAAGAUCAGAAACACGGCGGAACAACAAGCACGCAGGACAAGUCCAUCCUGCCCAUAACACCCUAGAGCAGGCUCAAAGC
This 460-nucleotide long non-coding RNA is filed under the name Pan troglodytes (chimpanzee). Its description in RNAcentral is "long non-coding RNA NONPTRT010381". The record is from RNAcentral. Lineage: Eukaryota; Metazoa; Chordata; Mammalia; Primates; Hominidae.